This 207-nucleotide ribosomal RNA is filed under the name uncultured bacterium. RNAcentral's name for it is "partial 16S ribosomal RNA". It matches the Rfam family "Bacterial small subunit ribosomal RNA", at positions 568 to 774 of the family's 1533-position model. The record is from RNAcentral.
CGCGUAGGUGGUUUGUUAAGCGAGAUGUGAAAGCCCCGGGCUUAACCUGGGAACGGCAUUUCGAACUGGCAGGCUAGAGUGUGGUAGAGGGUAGUGGAAUUUCCUGUGUAGCGGUGAAAUGCGUAGAUAUAGGAAGGGACACCAGUGGCGAAGGCGGCUACCUGGACCAACACUGACACUGAGGUGCGAAAGCGUGGGGAGCAAACA